GUGGGGAAUUUUGGACAAUGGGCGAAAGCCUGAUCCAGCCAUGCCGCGUGCAGGAUGAAGGCCUUCGGGUUGUAAACUGCUUUUGUACGGAACGAAAAGACUCCUUCUAAUAAAGGGGGUCCAUGACGGUACCGUAAGAAUAAGCACCGGCUAACUACGUGCCAGCAGCCGCGGUAAUACGUAGGGUGCAAGCGUUAAUCGGAAUUACUGGGCGUAAAGCGUUCGUAGGCGGUUAUAUAAGACAGAUGUGAAAUCCCCGGGCUCAACCUGGGAACUGCAUUUGUGACUGUAUAGCUAGAGUACGGUAGAGGGGGAUGGAAUUCCGCGUGUAGCAGUGAAAUGCGUAGAUAUGCGGAGGAACACCGAUGGCGAAGGCAAUCCCCUGGACCUGUACUGACGCUCAUGCACGAAAGCGUGGGGAGCAAACAGGAUUAGAUACCCGUGUAGUCC
This 450-nucleotide ribosomal RNA is filed under the name uncultured bacterium. Its description in RNAcentral is "partial 16S ribosomal RNA". It matches the Rfam family "Bacterial small subunit ribosomal RNA", at positions 354 to 796 of the family's 1533-position model. The record is from RNAcentral.